GGCAGGGGGCUGCUGCUGGGCCUUUGCUAUUGCUGCUGCUCUCUUGUCUGGGCCAGACACCACCACCCAUCCCCUUCUCUACUGCCUGGCUGCUGAAACCCCCCCACCCUCAGUUGCUGCUGUUGCUACAGCCCCUUGGGUGUGGGGGAGGCUGCUGACUGCUGGCCUGCUCCCCAGAGGAGGGGAGUGAGGGACCCCAGCCCAAGCCAUUGCUGCUGUGGACAUUACCACCAUCUGAGCGGGGUCCCUCCUGCCUGGUCACCAGACUAGCUGCUGUGUCUGCUAUUGGGGAGUUGCUGAAGCCCCGAGAAGAGGACCACCUGCUGCUGGGGGAGUGCACAGAGACUCUGAAGACCACUGUGGAGGCGGCGCUUCAGGACUGAGUAAUUUUUGAACUGUGCUCUUGUGGUGGGGGUCUGGACUGUGUUUGUGGGGACACCAGGGGUGUGGCAUGGAGCCUGCCCCCUGGUCCAUCCAUGUCCUCCUUCGCCCCCUCCACCACCCCCAUUGGCUGUUUACCAUCUGCCCCGACUCCUGCCUCUGGGACUGAGCUGCUUGCCUUGCUUUCCAUGCCCAUUUCCACCAUUUGGACCUGCAGCAACAGCCAGCAUCGGAGGCCGCCGCCCAUGAGGCAGUAGAGAAGGGUCUGGUGGUGGGAGGAGUGUUCGUCCCCCUGGAGCCGUUGAAAGACCUGGGCAUCCGUUGGAUGAUGCUAAGCAGUGGAGACAAGAUCUAAGACAAGACAAGCAGAAAAUCUAUGGGCGAGAAAUUUUUAGACUGAUCCUAACACCUUGCACACAGCAGUUCUAUAUGUGUUAUUACUAAUGAGUGAAUGUGAUAGUAAAGAAACUACAUGGCCAUUG
This is a long non-coding RNA of Mauremys reevesii (Reeves's turtle), 863 nucleotides long. RefSeq lists it as uncharacterized. NCBI's taxonomy places the organism in Eukaryota, Metazoa, Chordata, Testudines, Geoemydidae. The record is from RefSeq and is a predicted model, not a curated record. The transcript is spliced from 3 exons.